UACAGAGGGUGCGAGCGUUAAUCGGAAUUACUGGGCGUAAAGCGCGCGUAGGCGGUUUUGCAAGUCGGGUGUGAAAUCCCCAGGCUUAACCUGGGAACUGCAUUCGAGACUGCAUUACUAGAGUAUGGGAGAGGGAAGUGGAAUUUCCGGUGUAGCGGUGAAAUGCGUAGAUAUCAGGAGGAACACCGGUGGUGUAGACGGCUCACUGGACCGUAACUGACGCUGAGACACGAAAGCGUGGGUAGCAAACAGG
Molecule: ribosomal RNA, 253 nt
Filed under: uncultured bacterium
Lineage: Bacteria
Description: partial 16S ribosomal RNA
Rfam family: Bacterial small subunit ribosomal RNA
Source: RNAcentral